RNAcentral lists this ribosomal RNA (461 nucleotides) under uncultured bacterium. RNAcentral describes it as "partial 16S ribosomal RNA". It matches the Rfam family "Bacterial small subunit ribosomal RNA", at positions 338 to 795 of the family's 1533-position model. The record is from RNAcentral.
CCUACGGGAGGCAGCAGUGAGGAAUAUUGGUCAAUGGACGCAAGUCUGAACCAGCCAAGUAGCGUGCAGGAUGACGGCCCUCCGGGUUAUAAACUGCUUUUAGUUGGGAAUAAAAGGGGGCUCGUGAGCCCCGUAUUGUAUGUAUCAUCAGAAAAAGGACCGGCUAAUUCCGUGCCAGCAGCCGCGGUAAUACGUAAGGUCCGGGCGUUAUCCGGUUUUAUUGGGUUUAAAGGGUGCGUAGGCGGAAUGCCAAGUCAGCGGUAAAAUCGCGGGGCUCAACCUCGCUCCGCCGUUGUAACUGGCGUUCUUGAGUGGGCGAGAAGUAUGCGGAAUGCGUGGGGUAGCGGUGAAAUGCAUAGAUAUCACGCAGAACUCCGAUUGCGAAGGCAGCAUACCGGCGCCCAACUGACGCUGAAGCACGAAAGCGUGGGUAUCGAACAGGAUUAGAUACCCCAGUAGUC